Molecule: unclassified non-coding RNA, 249 nt
Filed under: soil metagenome
Description: partial internal transcribed spacer 1
Source: RNAcentral
ACAAAAUAUCUGGCUGGCGGUUCGCUGCCGUGCCAAUCCACCUUGCUGGGGUCUUGCCCUGGACUGCUUCAAAUCAGUCCGGAGCUAAGUGCGGUUCCUUCGAUCAACGUAACAAUUGAUCAUUUAGAGGGAGCUGCCUUGGUGCUUUGCGGCGCCAAGCCCGAAGGGACAGUGACUGAGCAUUCAUUUGCUCGGCACUAACUUUUAUAUUAUAUUAAAGUCUAAUAACAUGUCGAGAGACAACCAAUA